RNAcentral lists this ribosomal RNA (492 nucleotides) under uncultured bacterium. RNAcentral's name for it is "partial 16S ribosomal RNA". It matches the Rfam family "Bacterial small subunit ribosomal RNA", at positions 29 to 507 of the family's 1533-position model. The record is from RNAcentral.
AGUGAACGCUGGCGGUAGGCCUAACACAUGCAAGUCGAACGGCAGCACAGUAAGAGCUUGCUCUUACGGGUGGCGAGUGGCGGACGGGUGAGGAAUACAUCGGAAUCUACUUUUUCGUGGGGGAUAGCGUAGGGAAACUUACGCUAAUACCGCAUACGACCUACGGGUGAAAGCAGGGGAUCUUCGGACCUUGCGCGAUUGAAUGAGCCGAUGUCGGAUUAGCUAGUUGGCGGGGUAAAGGCCCACCAAGGCGACGAUCCGUAGCUGGUCUGAGAGGAUGAUCAGCCACACUGGAACUGAGACACGGUCCAGACUCCUACGGGAGGCAGCAGUGGGGAAUAUUGGACAAUGGGCGCAAGCCUGAUCCAGCCAUACCGCGUGGGUGAAGAAGGCCUUCGGGUUGUAAAGCCCUUUUGUUGGGAAAGAAAAGCAGCAGGUUAAUACCCCGCUGUCCUGACGGUACCCAAAGAAUAAGCACCGGCUAACUUCGUG